CGACCUACAUAUUAAAAAUAAAAUUAAAAAAAAGGCAAAAUGGUUCGAUGGAUCCUUAUACUAUGUCCGUUUUGUAAGUUGGGCACUUCUACUUACAUAUAUGUCAUCUAGACCCCUGAACCCACUAAAAGCAACAUUUUAAACAUAUUUUCUAAUGUGGCAUUCUAUGUGGCUGGGACCACAUAAGAACGUGUGUUUUAGUCUCCAACUGCGCGUCAGCCAUUGAAAAAGGUCCC
This 236-nucleotide long non-coding RNA is filed under the name Capsicum annuum. RNAcentral's name for it is "long non-coding RNA (CANN_LNC009484)". Lineage: Eukaryota; Viridiplantae; Streptophyta; Magnoliopsida; Solanales; Solanaceae. The record is from RNAcentral.